UGGACCAAUACAUAAACACAGUGAAAACGGACUAAUACACAAACACAGGCCAUCUUUAGGUGUGGGUCAUUCCAGGGUUUUAUGGACUCAUUUUAUUUGUUCAGUGUUUGCUGAUUUGCAUCAGUCUCUACCUAUGGGUGUGUCCAGGCUGAGACAGAGCUGGGACUGACUGAUUCUUCUGGGGCUAGACCUAGUUUCCUUCCUCUCCUAUCCCCAGCAGUUGUCUCUGUAGGGGUGGAGGGAUUUUCUUUUUUUUUGUGGUUGUGUAUGGAGAGAAAUGGUUUUGGAGUUUUGUUUUGUUUUGUUUUGUUUUGUUUUCUGGAGCACAUAGGUGGGACAAGAGGGGAGACCCCACCUGGCCUGAAGAAUUGGAUUUUGGCCCUGGUGAAAGAGGAAAUGGAGCAGAGACUGCCUGAAUGAAGUUAAGAAAAUGCCUGGGGAGACUCUGAGCUGAAGGAGGCGGCCCAUGUUGGGAUCCAGGGCCAAUAUAGCAUCAGAUGCAUCGAACUCACAGAACAUCGCUCCCCAGCUGCCGGCCCACAGUUCUGAGAGUGCCUGAAUAGAAAACCACUCAUUUCCCUUCGCAAUAGAGGCGCCCAAAGCAGAUAUGUCAAUAUAUUCCAAUUUAGCCGAGGGAAGCCAGAACAUGGAUGUUGUUGCCAAGGAAACCACCUCCUUCCUCCUGUGUGCCGUGCAUACGUGUAUCACUUCAUCUCUCUGCUCUCCAAGGAGGAAGAUGACAAUGACUGUGGAAGCAGAAGGUUGUCAUGGAAAUGCACCUGUUCCAAGUCGUUGCACUCUGGGCUCUGGGCUGGCUCUGCAUGGUCCUACCAUGCACUGACUUCAGCUUCACCUGGGUCAGCGGGAGGCUGGACAAAGGUAGACAUCUUUCCUCACUACCAGCCUGCCAUUGUGGCUUUCUGUUGCCGGUGUGAACAGACACUCAAGCUUUCCUGGUCUCCUGAGCUACUGUGAAUAUGGCACAAGAUAGUGGACUCUGAAUAACAUUGGAAACAACUACUUCCUGGAUGGCCGCUGAGUGCAAGGCCUGAGGGAGGGUGAGGGCAAGAGGACUGAUGGUUACUGGACAUCUUCAUGACCAGGCUUCUGUGUGUCCUCUCACUUAAUCCUCCAACAGCACUGUGAGGAAAAUAGAGCAUCCCACCUCACAGGCGAGGAAGCUCAAGUUGAAGGACUGUUAAGUUGUCCGCUCUGAGCCUCACAGCCGGGUGGUGACAGCCCCAGGAUUGGUGGCCAGGGUUU
RNAcentral lists this long non-coding RNA (1263 nucleotides) under Rhinopithecus bieti (black snub-nosed monkey). RNAcentral's name for it is "lncRNA (ENSRBIG00000046477.1)". The record is from RNAcentral. Lineage: Eukaryota; Metazoa; Chordata; Mammalia; Primates; Cercopithecidae.